GACGAACGCUGGCGGCGUGCUUAACACAUGCAAGUCGAACGGAAAGGCCCUGCUUGCUGGGUCCUCGAGUGGCGAACGGGUGAGUAACACGUGGGUGCUCUGCCCUGCACUUCGGGAUAAGCUUGGGCAACUGGGUCUAAUCCCGGAUAGGAGCUACCUUUUGCGUGGUGGUUGGAAAGUUUUUUCGGUGUAGGAUGAGCUCGCGGCCUAUCAGCUUGUUGGUGGGGUAAUGGCCUACCAAGGCGGCGAGGGGUAGCCGGCCUGCGAGAGUGUACGGCCACAUUGGGACUGAGAUACAGCCCAGAGUCCGACGGGUGGCAGCAGGGGGGAAUAUUGCACAAUGCGAGCAAGCCUGAGGCAGCGACGCCGCGUGGGUGAUGAAGGCCUUCGGUUUGUAAGCUCCUUUCGCUAGGGACGAAGCGUUGUUGUGACGGUACCUAGAUAAGAAGCACCGGCUAACUACGUG
Molecule: ribosomal RNA, 466 nt
Filed under: uncultured bacterium
Lineage: Bacteria
Description: partial 16S ribosomal RNA
Rfam family: Bacterial small subunit ribosomal RNA
Source: RNAcentral